This 479-nucleotide ribosomal RNA is filed under the name uncultured bacterium. RNAcentral describes it as "partial 16S ribosomal RNA". It matches the Rfam family "Bacterial small subunit ribosomal RNA", at positions 28 to 507 of the family's 1533-position model. The record is from RNAcentral.
GAUGAACGCUAGCGGGAGGCCCAACACAUGCAAGCCGAGCGGUAGAGUUUCUUCGGAAACUUGAGAGCGGCGCACGGGUGCGUAACACGUGUGCAACCUACCUUUAUCUGGGGGAUAGCCUUUCGAAAGGAAGAUUAAUACCCCAUAAUAUAAUGAUUGGCAUCAAUUAUUAUUGAAAACUCCGGUGGAUAGAGAUGGGCACGCGCAAGAUUAGAUAGUUGGUGAGGUAACGGCUCACCAAGUCAAUGAUCUUUAGGGGUCCUGAGAGGGAGAUCCCCCACACUGGUACUGAGACACGGACCAGACUCCUACGGGAGGCAGCAGUGAGGAAUAUUGGACAAUGGGUGAGAGCCUGAUCCAGCCAUCCCGCGUGAAGGAUGACGGCCCUAUGGAUUGUAAACUUCUUUUGUACAGGGAUAAACCUACCCUCGUGAGGGUAGCUGAAGGUACUGUACGAAUAAGCACCGGCUAACUCCGUG